This 478-nucleotide ribosomal RNA is filed under the name uncultured bacterium. RNAcentral's name for it is "bacterial SSU rRNA". It matches the Rfam family "Bacterial small subunit ribosomal RNA", at positions 28 to 507 of the family's 1533-position model. The record is from RNAcentral.
GACGAACGCUGGCGGCAUGCCUAACACAUGCAAGUCGAACGGAACUUGUUGAAUGAAGUUUUCGGAUGGAUUUCAGCAAGUUUAGUGGCGGACGGGUGAGUAACGCGUGAGCAACCUGCCUUUCAGAGGGGGACAACAGUUGGAAACGACUGCUAACACCGCAUAACAUGGCGAGACCGCAUGACCUUGCCAUCAAAAAUUUAUUGGUAUGAGAUGGGCCCGCGUCUGAUUAGCUAGUUGGUGAGGUAACGGCCCACCAAGGCGACGAUCAGUAGCCGGCCUGAGAGGGUGACCGGCCACAUUGGGACUGAGACACGGCCCAAACUCCUACGGGAGGCAGCAGUGGGGAAUAUUGGACAAUGGGGGAAACCCUGAUCCAGCAACGCCGCGUGAGUGAAGAAGUAUUUCGGUAUGUAAAGCUCUAUCAGCAGGGAAGAAAAUGACGGUACCUGACUAAGAAGCCCCGGCUAACUACGUG